GUCUGGUGGCGAGUGGCGAACGGGUGAGUAAUGUAUCGGAACGUGCCUAGUAGCGGGGGAUAACUACGCGAAAGCGUAGCUAAUACCGCAUACGCCCUACGGGGGAAAGCAGGGGAUCGCAAGACCUUGCACUAUUAGAGCGGCCGAUAUCGGAUUAGCUAGUUGGUGGGGUAACGGCUCACCAAGGCGACGAUCCGUAGCUGGUUUGAGAGGACGACCAGCCACACUGGGACUGAGACACGGCCCAGACUCCUACGGGAGGCAGCAGUGGGGAAUUUUGGACAAUGGGGGAAACCCUGAUCCAGCCAUCCCGCGUGUGCGAUGAAGGCCUUCGGGUUGUAAAGCACUUUUGGCAGGAAAGAAACGUCAUGGGCUAAUACCCCGUGAAACUGACGGUACCUGCAGAAUAAGCACCGGCUAACUACGUGCCAGCAGCCGCGGUAAUACGUAGGGUGCAAGCGUUAAUCGGAAUUACUGGGCGUAAAGCGUGCGCAGGCGGUUCGGAAAGAAAGAUGUGAAAUCCCAGAGCUUAACUUUGGAACUGCAUUUUUAACUACCGAGCUAGAGUGUGUCAGAGGGAGGUGGAAUUCCGCGUGUAGCAGUGAAAUG
Molecule: ribosomal RNA, 609 nt
Filed under: Achromobacter sp. EECC-24
Lineage: Bacteria; Pseudomonadati; Pseudomonadota; Betaproteobacteria; Burkholderiales; Alcaligenaceae
Description: bacterial SSU rRNA
Rfam family: Bacterial small subunit ribosomal RNA
Source: RNAcentral